This 497-nucleotide ribosomal RNA is filed under the name uncultured bacterium. RNAcentral describes it as "partial 16S ribosomal RNA". It matches the Rfam family "Bacterial small subunit ribosomal RNA", at positions 28 to 507 of the family's 1533-position model. The record is from RNAcentral.
GAUGAACGCUGGCGGCGUGCCUAAUACAUGCAAGUCGAGCGAACGGACGAGAAGCUUGCUUCUCUGAUGUUAGCGGCGGACGGGUGAGUAACACGUGGAUAACCUACCUAUAAGACUGGGAUAACUUCGGGAAACCGGAGCUAAUACCGGAUAAUAUUUUGAACCGCAUGGUUCAAAAGUGAAAGACGGUCUUGCUGUCACUUAUAGAUGGAUCCGCGCUGCAUUAGCUAGUUGGUAAGGUAACGGCUUACCAAGGCAACGAUGCAUAGCCGACCUGAGAGGGUGAUCGGCCACACUGGAACUGAGACACGGUCCAGACUCCUACGGGAGGCAGCAGUAGGGAAUCUUCCGCAAUGGGCGAAAGCCUGACGGAGCAACGCCGCGUGAGUGAUGAAGGUCUUCGGAUCGUAAAACUCUGUUAUUAGGGAAGAACAUAUGUGUAAGUAACUGGGCACAUCUUGACGGUACCUAAUCAGAAAGCCACGGCUAACUACGUG